UUAAGUGACUAAGCGUACAAGGUGGAUGCCUUGGCAAUCAGAGGCGAAGAAGGACGUGCUAAUCUGCGAAAAGCUUGGAUGAGUCGAUAAGAGGCGUUUAAUCCAAGAUAUCCGAAUGGGGAAACCCAGUAGAUGAAGAAUCUACUAUCAACAAGUGAAUUCAUAGCUUGUUGAGGCAAACCGGGAGAACUGAAACAUCUAAGUACCCCGAGGAAAAGAAAUCAACCGAGAUUUCGUCAGUAGCGGCGAGCGAAAGCGAAAGAGCCAGUAAGUGAUAGCAGUAUAGUGAGGAGAAUGUGUUGGGAAGCACAAUCAAAGAGGGUGAUAAUCCCGUAUCUAAAAACCAUAUUGUGGUACUAAGCUAACGAGAAGUAGGGCGGGACACGUGAUAUCCUGUUUGAAGAAGGGGGGACCAUCCUCCAAGGCUAAAUACUCCUGAUUGACCGAUAGUGAACCAGUACUGUGAAGGAAAGGCGAAAAGAACCCCGGUGAGGGGAGUGAAAUAGAACCUGAAACCUUGUACGUACAAGCAGUGGGAGCCCCAUCACUUAAUCCGAUUGGAAGGUGAUGAAAAGCAACCGCAUUUAAACAAUGGUAAGAGGAGCGAAGCGAGUCAAACCACCCAAAAGAAGCAGUGGGAUUAAGUGAUGGGGUGACUGCGUACCUUUUGUAUAAUGGGUCAGCGACUUAUAUUUUGUAGCGAGGUUAACUGAAUAGGGGAGCCGAAGGGAAACCGAGUCUUAACUGGGCGAGUAGUUGCAAGGUAUAGACCCGAAACCCGGUGAUCUAGCCAUGGGCAGGUUGAAGGUUGGGUAACACUAACUGGAGGACCGAACCGACUAAUGUUGAAAAAUUAGCGGAUGACUUGUGGCUGGGGGUGAAAGGCCAAUCAAACCGGGAGAUAGCUGGUUCUCCCCGAAAUCUAUUUAGGUAGAGCCUUGAGGUGACACCUUUGGGGGUAGAGCACUGUUUCGGCUAGGGGGCCAUCCCGGCUUACCAACCCGAUGCAAACUACGAAUACCAAAGAGUGAUACUCAGGAGACACACGGCGGGUGCUAACGUCCGUCGUGGAGAGGGAAACAACCCAGACCGCCAGCUAAGGUCCCCAAGUCUAUAUUAAGUGGGAAACGAAGUGGGAAGGCUUAGACAGCUAGGAUGUUGGCUUAGAAGCAGCCAUCAUUUAAAGAAAGCGUAAUAGCUCACUAGUCGAGUCGGCCUGCGCGGAAGAUGUAACGGGGCUGAAAUAUAGCACCGAAGCUGCGGCAUCAGAAUUUAUUCUGUUGGGUAGGGGAGCGUUGUGUAAGCGGAAGAAGGUUCAUCGAGAGGUGGGCUGGACGUAUCACAAGUGCGAAUGCUGACAUAAGUAACGAUAAAACGGGUGAAAAACCCGUUCGCCGGAAGACCAAGGGUUCCUGUCCAACGUUAAUCGGGGCAGGGUGAGUCGGCUCCUAAGGCGAGGCUGAAAAGCGUAGUCGAUGGGAAACAGGUUAAUAUUCCUGUACUUGGUAAAGCUGCGAUGUGGGGACGGAGUAGGUUAGGUUAUCGCACUGUUGGAUAUGUGCGUUUAAGUUGGUAGGUGGGAAGUUUAGGCAAAUCCGGACUUCCUUAACACAGAGAGAUGAUGACGAGGCUCUACGGAGCUGAAGUAACUGAUACCACACUUCCAGGAAAAGCCACUAAGCGAAAGGCUUUACUAAACCGUACUGAAAACCGACACAGGUGGUCAGGUAGAGAAUACUCAGGCGCUUGAGAGAACUCGGGUGAAGGAACUAGGCAAAAUAGCACCGUAACUUCGGGAGAAGGUGCGCCGGCGUAGAUUGUAAGGGCUAGCCCCUGAAGGUUGAACCGGUCGAAGAUACCAGCUGGCUGCAACUGUUUAUUAAAAACACAGCACUCUGCAAACACGAAAGUGGACGUAUAGGGUGUGAUGCCUGCCCGGUGCUGGAAGGUUAAUUGAUGGUGUAAUCGAAAGAGAAGCACCUGAUCGAAGCCCCAGUAAACGGCGGCCGUAACUAUAACGGUCCUAAGGUAGCGAAAUUCCUUGUCGGGUAAGUUCCGACCUGCACGAAUGGCAUAAUGAUGGCCAGGCUGUCUCCACCCGAGACUCAGUGAAAUUGAAAUCGCCGUGAAGAUGCGGUGUACCCGCGGCUAGACGGAAAGACCCCGUGAACCUUUACUAUAGCUUGACACUGAACAUUGAAUUUUGAUGUGUAGGAUAGGUGGGAGCCUUUGAAGCAGUGACGCCAGUCAUUGUGGAGGCGACCUUGAAAUACCACCCUUUAACGUUUGAUGUUCUAACGAAGAUGACGAAACGUGGUCUCGGACAGUGUCUGGUGGGUAGUUUGACUGGGGCGGUCUCCUCCCAAAGCGUAACGGAGGAGCACGAAGGUUUGCUAAUCACGGUCGGACAUCGUGAGGUUAGUGCAAUGGUAUAAGCAAGCUUAACUGCGAGACAGACAAGUCGAGCAGGUACGAAAGUAGGUCAUAGUGAUCCGGUGGUUCUGAAUGGAAGGGCCAUCGCUCAACGGAUAAAAGGUACUCCGGGGAUAACAGGCUGAUACCGCCCAAGAGUUCAUAUCGACGGCGGUGUUUGGCACCUCGAUGUCGGCUCAUCACAUCCUGGGGCUGAAGUAGGUCCCAAGGGUAUGGCUGUUCGCCAUUUAAAGUGGUACGCGAGCUGGGUUUAGAACGUCGUGAGACAGUUCGGUCCCUAUCUGCCGUGGGCGUAGGAGAAUUGGUUGGGGCUGCUCCUAGUACGAGAGGACCGGAGUGGACGCACCACUGGUGUUCCGGUUGUGUCGCCAGACGCAUUGCCGGGUAGCUAAGUGCGGAAGAGAUAAGUGCUGAAAGCAUCUAAGCACGAAACUUGCCAAGAGAUGAGUUCUCCCAAUCUAAGAGAUUGUAAGGGUUGUUGUAGACUACGACGUAGAUAGGUCUGGUGUGUAAGUGUAGUGAU
This 2956-nucleotide ribosomal RNA is filed under the name Haemophilus influenzae. RNAcentral describes it as "bacterial LSU rRNA". It matches the Rfam family "Bacterial large subunit ribosomal RNA". Lineage: Bacteria; Pseudomonadati; Pseudomonadota; Gammaproteobacteria; Pasteurellales; Pasteurellaceae. The record is from RNAcentral.